ACUGUGGCCCACCGUCGUCCUCUGAUUGGUUGGAGAUGAAGCAUUUCCGGUGCCUUUCCAUUCGUUGCGCCUCUUGAUUACUAUUGGUCGUUAGAUGUCAAACCGCCGUGGUCAGCUGUGGAGCAUGCGCACAGCUGAAUUGUAAUUGUGAGCAUACGUGCUGGGUGCGAUAGCCGGAAUGAAAUGGUCCUCCGUGGAGCUAGAAACAAAUAUAUUAAAACAAAUCACAGACAGGAAACUUUAAACAAACAUCAAAUCAAAAUUUGGCAUGAUCAAUCGAUUAAUCAGAAACUGGACAUUAUUGGCCUUUUGAGUCUGCAGGUGGAACAGGAGAAUCUCAAAUUGUCAACAGUGACGUGGCGGAGUAUUUUUGACCAUUCAUCAACAAGAUCUUGGACAAAAUCGAUAAGGAAGAUCUGACGAAGAAGCUAUGUGAAAGGGCUUCUAUAGCCUGGCUGCAGUAACUGUUUGUAGAUAGUUUGACAGAGUGGUCAAAGUCACUACAUUUAAGCUCUCGUCUCUAUUGAGUCAUGGAUAUGAAUCUUACCGGUAACCAAAAUCACGAGUGAUCUACCUCAGGCAGUCACAUCGAAGGAGCUGGGCAACUUCAAGUUUGCAAUGUUUACAUUUCUUCUGGGUAACUGUGGCUGCUUGGGCCUCUGAUAUGCUCGGUGCUGAAAGUGGGAAAAUGGGCAACAGCCUCCAAAAACAACAAGAGCUCUGGCUUCACAACGGCCCUUCAGAACUCCGCUAACACCCUGCUUUAGCGGAUUUUGCAUAGCUUGUUGAUGCCAGUUUUUAUGGCUCAAACGGUCAGCAUUAGGUGGUAAACUGAAAAGUCGGGUGUUUGAGACCAUCCAGGCACACAACUUUAGUUAUUUUGGAUCAAGCAAUUUAAGUGACCACCUACCUGAGGUUACCCCAUGAAAAAGCUACAACAAGAUUGGAUUCAAAACACAUCCAUCAAUGAUUCUGUCUUCCCCAGCUCCACACAGAGUGAGACUGGGGCAAGCAGAGGGUUUGACUUCGCUCUCCAAUCUCCAUUGCCAGAUUUUAUGGGCAGAGAGAUCAAGGACAGAGAGAUCAAAAGAUCGUACAAAUGGUUUGAGUGCAGUCUCCUAUAAACAGUCUCUGCAGGUGAUCUAAAGUGUAAAACGGUGUGAGUAAAGUGUCAACAGCUGAAUAACAGGUGAAGGGAUGACCUGUGAUCUGAAUAAGUGAGGCAGAGAGAUAAUUACAAAAACAAACUAAAAAUAAGGUUGUGGUUGGCACAAACCAAUUUCUGAUGAAGGGUCUAGGCCCAAAACAUCAGCUUUCCUUCUAAGAUGCUGCUUGGCCUGCUGUGUUCAUCCAGCUCCACACCUUGUUAUGGCUGGAAUUAUGUGAUAGGUAUAAGAAUCACUUGCUGAUAGUCUAACCAAAGUAAUAAAUAAUCCAAAAUUGUACUAACUAAUCAAGAGAGAGAUGUCACAACAAUUUAUCAAGGUGAUGGUGUUGAAAUAGGACAAUAAGGAAGAUUUUAUAGAUGCAGAACAGUACAGGGGGAUCACAUGUAGACAUGAACUUAAGAUCAUGAUUGAGGCUAUCUUCAUGGGCAUGGAAUUUGGCUAUCAGUUUCUGCUCGGUGAUUCUGCUUUGUCGUGUAUCUCAAAGGUCACGUUGCAUGUUUUCCCGAAGAUUGGACGCUUAAUGUACUUUACUGCUGAAGUGUUCUCCAACUGGGAGGGAACAUUCUUGUCUGGCAAUUGUUGCACAGAGUCCAUUCAUCCGUUGUCAUAGCGUCUGCAUGUUCUCACUAAUAUACCAUGCCUGGGGCAUUCUUACCUGCACUGUGUGAGGUCGAUAAUGUUGGCCCAGUCACAUAAGUAUCUCCCUUUAUGUGGUGGGUGGUGGCUGCAUGUGUGAUGCUAGUAUCCAUGUCAAUGAUCUGACAUCUUUCAGAGGUGCCAGUGGCAGGGUUGUGUGGUGUUGUGGUCGAAUUUGUCCUGAAGGUUGAGUAGCUGGCUGCGAACGACAGCCUGAUUAAGGUUUGGAGGUUGUUUGAACAGAGAAGUGAAGGUGUAUGGAUGAUCCUGGUGAGAUGCUGGUCAUCAUCAUUGACAUGUUGAAGGCUGUGGAGAACAUGGUGCAAUGUCUCCGCUCUGGGGAAUUCUUUAUGAUGAAGGGCGCUCUCUAGGUUGCAUCCUGUGUCUGUCUUCUGAGGAGGCCAUUGUGGGUUUUUGCUGUGGCACGUCGGAACUGAUGAGCCUCUGUCCAAAAAUAAGUCUCUGUCAGUGAUCAAAAAGUGUUAGAUGGUGUGAGUAAAAUGUUAACAGCUGAAGAGCAAGGGAAGUGAUGACCUAUGAUCCAAGUAGAGGAGGGAGAGAGAUAAUUACAAGAAAAUUUUAAAAAGACGGUGCUGGAGAGAAACAAAAUGACUUUGUUUUUCCUGCAGAACAUUAAAACCAAUUUUGAGCACUUAUUCCAGGAUUUUAAAUGAAUAUUUUAAAGCUAUUGCCCUCAUCUUUGAGCAGCCCACAUGACUGCAAAUUACACUGUCAGACGCUGGAUAAAUUUGGGAAAUUGCUUCAAUAAACCCAGUCAUUUCUGUUACAGAUCGUAAGGAAUUCUCAUUCGGCUGAAGAGACACAAUCAACACUUUGUUUGUUCUGUGUGCAGGGUCUCAGCGAAGAUCUGAAGAGACUUUAUACAACUGUUUCAGAAACUGUCGCCAAUUUUACUGCUUACAUCAGCCAGUGCAUCGAAGGCCUGCAGAGCUGGCAACUGAUCGAAUUGGGGGGAGCUGGUUACAUUGAAAAUACAUUUAAACUCUCUCCCAAAAGAGAAAGGCCUCAAAUAUUUAUCACAGUUUCAAGCAAACUACAAAACACAUAUAGAAUCGUGAAUUAAAUUAUUGAUAAUGUAUAAUCCAUGUGUUAGGAUUACAGAACGAAAGAACACUGCUGAUGGUUCAAAUCUGAAAGACCAAAAGUGAAUGUGAGAGACACCCAGCAGGACAGAAUCUAAUCUAUCAGCAGGGAAUCUCUCCACCCCCAGAGACUGAGGUUAGAUUCUUUCGAGCAGCAUAGACUGAGGAAGGGUCACCAGACCCAAAAGGUUAACACUUUUUUUCUUCACAGAUGCUGCCAGACCUGCUGAGCUUUUCUUGCAACUUCUGUUUUUGUUAUACACUGAGAGACGGGGGACAGGGGAGGGUGGCGAGGACAUGAGUGUGAUGUGUACAUUCAUGAGGGAAACAGACAGAGUAAACAAGAUGAAUCUUUGUGCUUGGUGGUGGAAUCAGUAUCGGGGAGGGGGAGCCGAGGACAGACACAUUAGAUGAGAUGUAAGGAUUUUUUUUCACUCAGAUAGUGGGAAUCUGAAACUCACAGCCUGGAAAUGUGGGAGAGGUGAAAACCAUCAUCACAUUGCACUGGACUUUAGCUGUAAAAAAUAAGCGCUGAAAGAA
Stegostoma tigrinum is the source of this 3448-nucleotide long non-coding RNA. RefSeq lists it as uncharacterized. The transcript is spliced from 3 exons. The record is from RefSeq and is a predicted model, not a curated record. NCBI's taxonomy places the organism in Eukaryota, Metazoa, Chordata, Chondrichthyes, Orectolobiformes, Stegostomatidae.